This 254-nucleotide ribosomal RNA is filed under the name uncultured bacterium. RNAcentral's name for it is "partial 16S ribosomal RNA". It matches the Rfam family "Bacterial small subunit ribosomal RNA", at positions 524 to 776 of the family's 1533-position model. The record is from RNAcentral.
UACAGAGACUGCAAGCGUUUAUUCGGAUUCACUGGGCGUAAAGGGUGCGCAGGCGGUUGGGUGUGUCAGAUGUGAAAUCCCGAGGCUUAACCUCGGAACUGCGUCUGAAACUACUCGACUAGAGUACUGGAGAGGGAAACGGAAUUCACGGUGUAGCAGUGAAAUGCGUAGAUAUCGUGAGGAACACCAGAGGCGAAGGCGGUUUCCUGGACAGUUACUGACGCUCAGGCACGAAAGCAUGGGGAGCAAAAGGG